CUUACAAGCCUUCUUCAAUCUACUAAUUUUAUCUAUAAAAAUUUAAGCUGAUAAACUCAAAAUUUAUUAUAGAGCAAUCGACAACAAAUCAGGGAGGGAGAAACUCUUAAUGACAGAUAAAAGCCGAAUUUAGGGCAUCCAAAUUAGGUGAAGAAGUGUCAAAAACAAGUAAUGGGGAAUAUUUAGAGAAGCAAAGAGAAAUCAUGCCAACCGCUACUUUCAUCUCUCUGUCUGUCUGUCUCUCUCACACGCUUUUCCUCCGUUUCCUUAUUGGUUUUGUAUCAUCUCUUCGAUUUGGUCACCUCUUCGAAAAAUCAUGGAAGAUGUCCAGCAACCUUCAGCUUCUUUGUGUAAUGGUUCCCAGGACACUAUUGAAGAAAAUCAAGAAAAGAAAGCUGUUCCUGUUGGGCGCAAACGACUAACGAGAUCAAGGUUUUCUGACUCGUUUUCAUCUCAUGCUUCUGUAUCAGAUAAGAAAUCCUUCGCCGUGGAGGCGGAGGAGGAGGAGGAGGAGGAGGAGGAG
Long non-coding RNA from Populus euphratica (Euphrates poplar), 523 nucleotides. RefSeq lists it as uncharacterized. The record is from RefSeq and is a predicted model, not a curated record. The transcript has 3 exons. Lineage: Eukaryota; Viridiplantae; Streptophyta; Magnoliopsida; Malpighiales; Salicaceae.